GUGGGAGCCAGGGGCAGAGGGAGAGGAAAUGGAAGGUUAGUGUUUAAGGGGAACAGAGUUUCAGUUGGGGAAGAUGAAAAAGUUCUGGGGAUGGAUGGUGAUGGUGGC
Long non-coding RNA from Myotis davidii, 108 nucleotides. RefSeq lists it as uncharacterized. NCBI's taxonomy places the organism in Eukaryota, Metazoa, Chordata, Mammalia, Chiroptera, Vespertilionidae. The record is from RefSeq and is a predicted model, not a curated record. The transcript has 3 exons.